GUAAUGCGUAGGAAGCUGCCCGAUAGAGGGGGAUACCAGUUGGAAACGACUGUUAAUACCGCAUAAUGUCUACGGACCAAAGUGUGGGACCUUCGGGCCACAUGCUAUCGGAUGCGCCUACGUGGGAUUAGCUAGUUGGUGAGGUAAUGGCUCACCAAGGCGACGAUCUCUAGCUGGUUUGAGAGGAUGAUCAGCCACACUGGAACUGAGACACGGUCCAGACUCCUACGGGAGGCAGCAGUGGGGAAUAUUGGACAAUGGGCGCAAGCCUGAUCCAGCCAUGCCGCGUGUGUGAAGAAGGCCUUCGGGUUGUAAAGCACUUUCAGCGAGGAGGAAGGGUGGUGUGUUAAUAGCACAUCAUUUUGACGUUACUCGCAGAAGAAGCACCGGCUAACUCUGUGCCAGCAGCCGCGGUAAUACAGAGGGUGCAAGCGUUAAUCGGAAUUACUGGGCGUAAAGCGCACGUAGGCGGUUUUUUAAGUCAGAUGUGAAAGCCCCGGGCUCAACCUGGGAAUUGCAUUUGAAACUGGAAAACUAGAGUGUGUGAGAGGGGGGUAGAAUUCCAAGUGUAGCGGUGAAAUGCGUAGAGAUUUGGAGGAAUACCAGUGGCGAAGGCGGCCCCCUGGCACAACACUGACGCUCAGGUG
Molecule: ribosomal RNA, 647 nt
Filed under: uncultured bacterium
Lineage: Bacteria
Description: bacterial SSU rRNA
Rfam family: Bacterial small subunit ribosomal RNA
Source: RNAcentral